GCCUGGGGUUAUGAAGAUACUAAGACAUUUCGGUGGCGAAAAGAGUUUGCACACAACAGAAUGCUGCUCCUGCGGAUUUAGAAUAUGGCCAGCAAUGCCUCUGGCAACUCUCCCCUUUUGGUAGUUUUCAUUGGAAAAGAAGAGACAGAUGGUAGGAGAAGUGGGCUGUCUCUUUCAUCAUUACUUUGGUCCUGGAUUUCACGGCUGCUUGCCUUUUCUCCUGCCCUCUCCUGAGGGAACAAGUUCAUAUUCAUAUCUUCACUUUGAUUAUCAUUUCCUGAGAAAGACCUCUUUGGAAGAUGAUUUCUGAAGCAGUACUAGCAGAGAAACAGUAUUUGCAGGCAUAUCAGGAGGUAACAAAAAGAAAAGCUAAGUUAGGAAGAG
Long non-coding RNA from Mauremys reevesii (Reeves's turtle), 384 nucleotides. RefSeq lists it as uncharacterized. The transcript is spliced from 3 exons. Lineage: Eukaryota; Metazoa; Chordata; Testudines; Geoemydidae. The record is from RefSeq and is a predicted model, not a curated record.